Molecule: ribosomal RNA, 494 nt
Filed under: Throscidae sp. UPOL RK0175
Lineage: Eukaryota; Metazoa; Arthropoda; Insecta; Coleoptera; Throscidae
Description: partial 16S ribosomal RNA
Rfam family: Bacterial large subunit ribosomal RNA
Source: RNAcentral
CAUCUCUUUAAGAUUAUGAUUUAAAGUAUAAUCUGCCCACUGAGUAAUUAAAUGGCCGCAGUAAUUUGACUGUGCGAAGGUAGCAUAAUAAUUAGCUUCUUAAUUGGUUGCUGGAAUGAAUGAUUGGACGAGGGAAUAACUGUCUCAAGAAGAAUUAAUUUUGAAUUUUUUUUUUUAGUUAAAAAACUAAAAUUUUAUUAGAAGACGAGAAGACCCUAUAGAAUUUUAUUUAAUAAAUUUUUAGAAAUUAGAAAAAUUAAUUUGGUUGGGGUGAUUACAAGAAAUGAACUCUUGUUUAAUAAUUACUGAUUGGUGUUAUUAUGAAUCUAUUUUAGUUAGAAGAAAAAUUACCUUAGGGAUAACAGCGUAAUUUUAUUUUUAAGAUCUUAUUAGAAAUAAAGUUUUCGACCUCGAUGUUGGAUUAAAAUUGAUUUUUGGUGAAGGAGCUAGAAAAUUAAGUCUGUUCGACUUUUAAAAUUUUACAUGAUCUGAGU